This 497-nucleotide ribosomal RNA is filed under the name uncultured bacterium. Its description in RNAcentral is "partial 16S ribosomal RNA". It matches the Rfam family "Bacterial small subunit ribosomal RNA", at positions 28 to 507 of the family's 1533-position model. The record is from RNAcentral.
GAUGAACGCUGACGGCGUGCCUAAUACAUGCAAGUCGAGCGAACGGACGAGAAGCUUGCUUCUCUGAUGUUAGCGGCGGACGGGUGAGUAACACGUGGAUAACCUACCUAUAAGACUGGGAUAACUUCGGGAAACCGGAGCUAAUACCGGAUAAUAUUUUGAACCGCAUGGUUCAAAAGUGAAAGACGGCCUUGCUGUCACUUAUAGAUGGAUCCGCGCUGCAUUAGCUAGUUGGUAAGGUAACGGCUUACCAAGGCAACGAUGCAUAGCCGACCUGAGAGGGUGAUCGGCCACACUGGAACUGAGACACGGUCCAGACUCCUACGGGAGGCAGCAGUAGGGAAUCUUCCGCAAUGGGCGAAAGCCUGACGGAGCAACGCCGCGUGAGUGAUGAAGGUCUUCGGAUCGUAAAACUCUGUUAUUAGGGAAGAACAUAUGUGUAAGUAACUGUGCACAUCUUGACGGUACCUAAUCAGAAAGCCACGGCUAACUACGUG